RNAcentral lists this ribosomal RNA (461 nucleotides) under uncultured bacterium. RNAcentral's name for it is "partial 16S ribosomal RNA". It matches the Rfam family "Bacterial small subunit ribosomal RNA", at positions 338 to 795 of the family's 1533-position model. The record is from RNAcentral.
CCUACGGGAGGCAGCAGUGAGGAAUAUUGGUCAAUGGGCGCGAGCCUGAACCAGCCAUGCCGCGUGAAGGGCAGGGACCUAUGGGCGUUAAACUUCUUUUGUGCGGGAGCAAUAAUGGUCACGUGUGGCCAGACGAGAGUACCGUACGAAUAAGCAUCGGCUAACUCCGUGCCAGCAGCCGCGGUCAUACGUAGGAUCCGAGCAUUAUCCGGAGUGACUGGGUGUAAAGAGUUGCGUAGGUGGCAUAAUAAGUAGCUAGUGAAAUCUGGUGGCUCAACCAUUCAGACUAUUAGCUAAACUGUUAAGCUCGAGACCGUUAGGGGUAACUGGAAUUUCUAGUGUAGGAGUGAAAUCCGUAGAUAUUAGAAGGAACACCAAUAGCGUAGGCAGGUUACUGGGACGGUUCUGACACUAAGGCACGAAAGCGUAGGGAGCAAACGGGAUUAGAUACCCUAGUAGUC